AAGUCGUAACAAGGUUUCCGUAGGUGAACCUGCGGAAGGAUCAUUAAUGAAUAGACUCUUUAUCUUUCCACCUGUGCACCUCUUGUAGAUCUGGAGACCAUCCAAUUGACUCUGAGGAAACUCAGUUUUGGGGUUUGUAGGUGCUUCUGCAGCUUCUGCUCUCCCUGGGUAGCCGGGUCUAUGUUUUUUCUCUACAUACACCAUAGAAAUGCAACAGAAUGUCAUUGAAUGGGUCUUUGAACCUAUAACAAAAGUUAUACAACUUUCAGCAACGGAUCUCUUGGCUCUC
RNAcentral lists this unclassified non-coding RNA (289 nucleotides) under fungal sp. RNAcentral's name for it is "partial internal transcribed spacer region". The stretch from base 1 to 46 matches the Rfam family "Eukaryotic small subunit ribosomal RNA", at positions 1786 to 1831 of the family's 1831-position model. The record is from RNAcentral. Lineage: Eukaryota; Fungi.